GUGCCAGCCGCCGCGGUAAUACCGGCAGCUCAAGUGAUGUCCCAUAUUAUUGGGCCUAAAGCGUCCGUAGCUGGCCAACCAAGUCCAUCGGGAAAUCCACCCGCCCAACGGGUGGGCUUCCGGUGGAAACUGGCUGGCUUGGAACCGGAAGGCUCAGAGAGUACGUCCGGGGUAGGAGUGAAAUCCCGUAAUCCCGGACGGACUACCGAUGGCGAAAGCACUCUGAGAAGACGGCUUCGACAGUGAGGGACGAAAGCUCGGGUCUCAAACCGGAUUAGAAACCCUCGUAGUCC
RNAcentral lists this ribosomal RNA (293 nucleotides) under uncultured prokaryote. Its description in RNAcentral is "partial 16S ribosomal RNA". It matches the Rfam family "Archaeal small subunit ribosomal RNA", at positions 455 to 747 of the family's 1478-position model. The record is from RNAcentral.